GAUGAACGCUAGCUACAGGCUUAACACAUGCAAGUCGAGGGGCAGCAUUUCAGUUUGCUUGCAAACUGGAGAUGGCGACCGGCGCACGGGUGAGUAACACGUAUCCAACCUGCCGAUAACUCGGGGAUAGCCUUUCGAAAGAAAGAUUAAUACCCGAUGGUAUAAUUAGACCGCAUGGUCUUGUUAUUAAAGGUAUUCCGGUAGACGAUGGGGAUGCGUUCCAUUAGAUAGUAGGCGGGGUAACGGCCCACCUAGUCUUCGAUGGAUAGGGGUUCUGAGAGGAAGGUCCCCCACAUUGGAACUGAGACACGGUCCAA
Molecule: ribosomal RNA, 317 nt
Filed under: uncultured bacterium
Lineage: Bacteria
Description: bacterial SSU rRNA
Rfam family: Bacterial small subunit ribosomal RNA
Source: RNAcentral